Molecule: ribozyme, 69 nt
Filed under: Erysipelotrichaceae bacterium 2_2_44A
Lineage: Bacteria; Bacillati; Bacillota; Erysipelotrichia; Erysipelotrichales; Erysipelotrichaceae
Description: Pistol ribozyme
Rfam family: Pistol ribozyme
Source: Rfam by way of RNAcentral
AAUCGACUAGGCGAUUUUAAAUAGGUGUUAAGCCUAGUGCGGUAAGAGGUAUAACCCUCUUGCGUCACG